AGGGAGGUUUCCUCUCUGAGUCAUACGGAGACAGAGGAGCGAGACCAGGAGCCUUGGACAGUUUACUCACAUUGUGACUGUGACAGAAGGCUAUCCCUCGCAGGAUCUGAAUCAGACCUGUGGAGUCUCCGGAUGAAUUUUAAGAUCCAACUUGCCUUCACAUCUACUCACAAGAAGGACAACAGCAACAGCAUCACAGGAAACACCAUCGCUGCCAAAUUCUCCUCAAGAAAAGAGAGUCCUCAAUUUCGCUACCACCUUUUAUAGUCGCAAGAAAUCUCAUGCACUCUACAGCCAACUAAGUUCUUUUUAAAGACCAAUCCAUUCUAAUGUAGCAGCUGAUUAAUUUGUAGAAACCUUCAGAAACAUCAGUGUGAUCAUGGCCACUUAUGACGCUGAUAAAUGUUUGCAUGGACUGCGGGGACAACUCCCUGUUCUUCCCCAAAGUCAUGUCAAUGUGACCUUUCCCGUCCAGCAGAGGGGACAGACAGAGCUUGGAUUUAACUCCUUAUCUGCUGUACUGAGAGCAUUCCCACAGGCUGCAGUGCUCAGGUUUGAAUGUGCUGCCUUCUCCCACCUCACUCAACAACAACUAGACUCAUAGCUGUCUGAUCUCAGCACAUUGUCUUUCCCUCAUUGUUUACAAAGUGAAACUCCUGUAACCCCUGAUCAAACCAUCAGUCCCUCAGCUUACAGGCUACUGGAGGCCAUCUUUCUCCCUGGGAACAGGGCGAGGAAUAAACGGAACAUCUCCAACAUUGUCCAGCUUUGCAAGAACUAGCAGAAAAACCUGUAACAGAUUCCAUGAAAACUCUGACUCACACUUUGACGCCAACAUUUAACUGCUUAUGUAAAUGUUUAGAAAGAAAAUCCCAAUAUAAACAAAACCUGAAAGAACUGUGGACACUGUAAGUCAGAAACAAAUUGCUGGAGUUAAUAUUUCAGAACAGUUCUGAGGAAGCUCAAUGGACCUGAAACAGCAGCUCUGCUUUCUCUCCACAGAUGCUGCCAGACCUGCUGAGCUUUUCCAGCAACUUCUGUUUUUGUUCCCACAUGUAAACUGUAUCCAGUGACGUGGUCUCAGGCGCUGACGUGUCACCAACUUUGAAAUAAAAACAUGGAUUCAUCGAC
Non-coding RNA from Chiloscyllium plagiosum (whitespotted bambooshark), 1131 nucleotides. The record is from RefSeq and is a predicted model, not a curated record. Lineage: Eukaryota; Metazoa; Chordata; Chondrichthyes; Orectolobiformes; Hemiscylliidae.